This is a non-coding RNA of Pelobates cultripes (western spadefoot toad), 219 nucleotides long. Lineage: Eukaryota; Metazoa; Chordata; Amphibia; Anura; Pelobatidae. The record is from the annotation of a GenBank genome assembly.
CAGAUUUGAACCUGGGGCCUUCUACAUCCUAAGCCUGAGUUCCUGCCUCUGAGCCACUUCUGGACUUUGGUUCUAACCUUGUUUUCCUGGCAUUGCCUGCAGCACUAGGGGGCUGGACAUCACCAGUGGCUCCUACCUGUCCAUCUAAGUUCACCUGAGGCAGUUCACUCAUUAGCUGAGCAUAAAACACUGCCCCUCCCUGAGAACAUUGUAAUUUCG